GGGGGUAUGGCGGAAUGGUAGACGCUACGGACUUAAAAAAAUCCGUUGGCUUUAUUGACCGUGAGGGUUCAAGUCCCUCUACCCCCA
Molecule: transfer RNA, 87 nt
Filed under: Plagiomnium acutum
Lineage: Eukaryota; Viridiplantae; Streptophyta; Bryopsida; Bryales; Mniaceae
Description: tRNA-Leu
Rfam family: tRNA
About the family: Transfer RNA (tRNA) molecules are approximately 80 nucleotides in length. Their secondary structure includes four short double-helical elements and three loops (D, anti-codon, and T loops).
Source: RNAcentral